GCCGGUGUAGCUCAGCUGGUAGAGCAGCGCAUUCGUAAUGCGAAGGUCGGGAGUUCGAAUCUCUUCUCCGGCA
Non-coding RNA from Sutterella wadsworthensis CAG:135, 73 nucleotides. The record is from Rfam. NCBI's taxonomy places the organism in Bacteria, Pseudomonadati, Pseudomonadota, Betaproteobacteria, Burkholderiales, Sutterellaceae.